CUAUUCUUUCUUUCUGUGAACUUAUCUAUUGCUUUGGGUGGGUUGUGUUUUCAACACUCCUCACCCAAAUUUUAAAACACUAAACAUUUUAUUGAUUGUCUGACAGAUUAAAUAAAAAAAUUAAUCAAAACUUUCAACAACGGAUCUCUUGGUUCUCGCAUCGAUGAAGAACGCAGCAAAACGCGAUAUGUAAUGUGAAUUGCAGAAUUUUGUGAAUCAUCGAAUUUUUGAACGCACAUUGCGCCCUUUGGUAUUCCAAAGGGCAUACCUGUUUGAGCGUCAUUUCUUUCUCAUUUUAAAUGGUUUUGUGUACUUUCCUUUUCGAAGGAUUAUACUAAAUGUAAUGGCAUGAUUGUUUCUUGUGAAAGCGUUUUAGGUUUACCAACUACGUGAAGUAACAGGCAAACAGUGAUCAGGCCCUACAACCUCACUUUUUAAAAAUUUGACCUCAAAUCAGGCAGGAAUACCCGC
RNAcentral lists this ribosomal RNA (471 nucleotides) under [Candida] sp. GY44S02. RNAcentral's name for it is "eukaryotic LSU rRNA". The stretch from base 129 to 282 matches the Rfam family "5.8S ribosomal RNA". The record is from RNAcentral. Lineage: Eukaryota; Fungi; Ascomycota; Saccharomycetes; Saccharomycetales.